AAACGCCGCUGCAGUUGGGCCUUUUGUCUUCUACCUUGGGCUUGUUGUCUUUUGCCUAUCUUGGAUUACAGGGUAUUCGCCUAGAUGAAGAGCCAUUAAUUACCCAUUCAGUCAAUAUUAGGAAGACGACAAAGCUUUUUACAUAGGAUUAAGAAGACAUCAGAUUGUUCCAUUAGUAUAUUCCUGCUCACGAAUAAGCUUUCGUUAUACAUUUCCUUUUCCCCCGAGCCGCUCUAACAACUGCUGCAUAUAUUAGCAGCGGGCGGUGAGGAAUAACAGCCGAACCAGCCUUAAGAAACUUUGUGUACCGAGUCAGCAGCGAGGAACGCGACCUGUGAAGACCACUUUUGCGGGCAGGGAUCCGCAGGGACUGACUACUUUCGGACAACUGAGAUUAAGAGGCGCUCGUAGCAGAACGGCCUUGCCUUCAGCUGGUGGCGAGGAUAGGCAAUCUCAUGGAAAAGUUGGAAGAGAAUGAGAAAACCAAAGACAGAAAGAUUCAGAGAUCCGCGGAGAGACACAGGGAGAGGGAAGGGAGUUGCGCUGAAAAGACGCAAAGAUACGCGCGUGCAACUCCCUCCCCUUUCAGGUUUCAGAGGUUUGCAAACCAGGGCUGAGAGGAAGGGGCUCGGGAAGCUCACGUUCCUCUCGCCCCCCUUCUGUCUGGAGUCUCGCCCGCCAGAGGCUGGUUAACCCCAGUCCCGGCCGCCGCAGACACUGCGCUGAGCUUUUGGGUCCUCGCCUUGCCCAGCGCCAGUGCAGCUGAAGUGAGCAGCUGGUGGGAAAUGCAAAUGGCUCCUGGAGAAAUAGAAGAUACAGAAUGAUUCUCAUUCCCUCCUCGAGUGUGUGGAAGGAGCUGGACAUACGUUUCACGCUCCUAAUCCUUCUUUUACAUUUUUAGUCAUACUCCUAUUAAACAACUAAUUAAUGCCCAGAAUCACCAGGGAAUACAUUAGGCAUGCAAUCGUAGAAGCAGGGUGCUGGGGGGCUACAAACCACCGAGCUGAUUUAAGACGUGGAUUUCAGGUUUUUCCCUUGUCAAAGCAGUAAAGGAAGAGCGGGCCUUGGCGACUGUAUUUAGAUUCCGAUUACUUCAAAUUAGAAGGGGGUGGAGGGAGCGUCCAAGCAAAGCAAGCAAUUCUCUGCCCUGCAGAUGUAAACAAGAUUGUAGCAUCAAAGGUACUAGCUCCUUUAGGGCUAGAUCGCCUGGACUGGGAGCCUGGGGAAGGGGAGACACUAACCUUACGUAUCUGUGAAUUUCAAGGAUGUUACAUUUUUACAUAAACAACUCCAGUGCGGAUUCUCUGGAAUGGGGGGAGUAAUACCCCCAUUCUAGAAUAUUAAAACAUUUUCCCCCCAAAGCGUAUAUCCUUUUUAUUUCCUCAAAAUUUUGAACUAUGUCUAAAGAUAAUAGUCUUCCAGUAAACUGGAGCAUUGGACCAUUUCCUUCACCCUUUCCUACCGACAUUUUGAUGAUCUGAUUUUAAUGUGUGGGGGGCACAGGGAAUUAAAUACAGCCCAUAAAACUAAGCUUAGAUGAAACAGUGCUGGCUAAGUGGGUUCAGAUAAUUUUUAAUGAGAAUCUCAAUUACACUCCUCCCCCCAAUAUGUUGAGACAAGUGACAGAACCGUUAGAAUGGUAAUCAAAUUGGAAAGCUCAGGGAGAACAACAAUUUCGUGAUCAAAUUGGGGCAAAACCGUGGACAAAUGUGGGGUGACCUCCGCCAACUCCCUGUCACCCAAGAGUCAGGAUUUGGGAAAGGUACAGUAUUAUUUCAGAGCCCGCUGUGACGGGCUGUGUGCUACCAUUUACUUUCUUCACUCUGGAUUAUGAUCUCAACCCUGGCAAGCAAUUUCCCCAGCUCCUUAUCUGACAACAAGCGAGUAUGUAAAUACCAAUGGCUAGCGAUGUUUAACUGCCUCAAACAUUAUUGAUUUGUUGGCUGUUCUAAAUUGUCUUCCUAGUCCAGGUCUUGUUUCCGAAUUGUCUAUUCUAGAGGUUUGAUCCAUGCCUCCGAUGCUACAAUACAAUAAUUGUUUUUUUAAAAAAGGCAUUUAAGAUGAACCAAUUGAUUUGCAUAUAAAUUAAAAUUACUAUGCGUUGCCGAUUCCGGUGUUUUAUAAUCAUUUCGAAAUUAGUACUUAACCACUUGAGCUAAAAGAAUAUAUAAAUGCCUGUAUUGACUCACUAAUGAAUUACCCAAUUAAAACGUCCGGGCAAUGCUGGGCGCUGGAAAGAUUGUUAAAUCAAGACAUAUUACAGGAGGGAUAUGAAGAUUAGAAAGGUAACAGACCAAUAUCUCGCACUCAAAACGGAGUUUCCGGUGAUUCCCAG
RNAcentral lists this long non-coding RNA (2335 nucleotides) under Homo sapiens (human). Its description in RNAcentral is "HSALNT0076190". The record is from RNAcentral. Lineage: Eukaryota; Metazoa; Chordata; Mammalia; Primates; Hominidae.